AGUGAUCCUGCCUCCUGGCACUCACACCCUUGUAUCAUCUGCCCCACUUCCUUGAGUGUGGGCUGGACCUAGUGGCUUGCUCCCAAGGAAGGAAACACAGCAAAGGUGAUGGAAUGUCACAUCUGUGAUUCAUAGACAGACUUCCUUCUUGUAAGCAGACACUGUCUUUCAAUGGCUUUCAGGAAGCAGGCAGCCACGUUGGAGAGGCCCAUACGGCAUGGCCACCAUGGCCAGCAAGGCGUGGAGGCCCUCAGUCCAGCAGCCCGUGAGGAACCGCAUUCUGCCAGCCACCAAAUGACUGAGCUUGAAACAACCCCACAUGAAUCUUGAGAUGAACCCACAGCCCCAGGUGACACACCUUGAUCACAGUCUGAGAGAAAUCCCGGAGCAGAGAACCAAGUAAAGAUUACUGGUCCACAGCAACGAGAGAAUAAAGCACAGGCCUUGAUGUGGAGUGUUUCGAGGAGAGGAGCCCAGAGGACAGAGCCCUGUCUCCAACUGCCCUACCCAGGCCCCCUGCCCUCAGCUGGGCAGACGAGGAAAGUGGGAGAAGCUGCCUCACGUCCUCAAGGAGCCACAGCCGUGGAUCCUUUCCAAAGAGCAAUCCUCCCAAAGCUGGGAACUCCAGGCCUGUCUGGAGCAGGGCAAGCUUUCCAAAGCACAUCCACUUCCCCUGUCUCCCCUGCUCUCACCAGUACCCCAGGGAGGACAGAGAAAUGGCACCAGUCAUCUACAAGACUCUCAGAAGCUUUGCCUGUUCAAGUUUCAACAGACCUAAAAGCCACACCAUUUGUUAUAUGACUUUUCACCUCCUACCUUCAAGAGCAGAAUCUGCUUCUCCACCCUUUGAACUUGGGCUGGCCUUGUGAUUUAUUUUGGCCGAUAGAAUGCAGCAGAAGCGACAAGAUCCCAGUGCCAAACCUUGGCCUCAAGAAGCCUUGUGUAGGCUGGGUGUGGUGGUGCGCAGUGGCACAAGCUUGUAAUCCCAGCACUUUGGGAGGCUGAGGCAGGUGGAUCGCUUGACCCCAGGAGUUCAAGACCAGUCUGGGCAACGUAAUGAAAUCUCAUCUCUACAAAAAAUACGAAAAUUAGCUAGGCAUGGUGAUAUGGACCUAUAGUCUCAGCUUGGGAGACUGAAGAGGGAGGAUCACUUGAGCCCAAGAGGUCAAGGCUGCAGGAAGCUGUGAUUGUGCCACUGCACUCCAGCCUGGGCAACAGAGUGAGAUGUCUCAAAAAAGAGAAGGCUUUUGUGCUUCCACACCUUCCGGACCGGUCUCUGCCAUAAGAACAAGUCGGACAAGCCUUCUGGCUAAUGAGGGCCAUGCAGUCUUGUCACGCCCAGCAUCCAACUGAUCAGCCAUCCUCCAUCCUCCAGAUGUGAGUGAGCCCAGCUGAGACCAGAAAAACUGCUCAGCCAAGCCCUGCUUAAAUCACUGACCCACAGAUUUUUGAGUUAAAUAAAUGCUUAUUGUGUUAAGGCUCU
This 1483-nucleotide long non-coding RNA is filed under the name Homo sapiens (human). RNAcentral's name for it is "HSALNT0171739". Lineage: Eukaryota; Metazoa; Chordata; Mammalia; Primates; Hominidae. The record is from RNAcentral.